ACUUAAAUAGCUUAAAUAAUAGAGCAUAAUAUUGAAGAUAUUAGGGUAAUAGUAAUAUUUUUAAGUA
RNAcentral lists this transfer RNA (67 nucleotides) under Coprophanaeus sp. BMNH679884. RNAcentral describes it as "tRNA-Phe". Lineage: Eukaryota; Metazoa; Arthropoda; Insecta; Coleoptera; Scarabaeidae. The record is from RNAcentral.